UACGAAGGGGGCUAGCGUUGCUCGGAAUCACUGGGCGUAAAGGGUGCGUAGGCGGGGCUUUAAGUCAGGGGGGAAAUCCUGGAGCUCAACUCCAGAACUGCCUUUGAUACUGAAGAUCUUGAGUUCGGGAGAGGUGAGUGGAACUGCGAGUGUAGAGGUGAAAUUCGUAGAUAUUCGCAAGAACACCAGUGGCGAAGGCGGCUCACUGGCCCGAUACUGACGCUGAGGCACGAAAGCGUGGGGAGCAAGCAGG
RNAcentral lists this ribosomal RNA (253 nucleotides) under uncultured bacterium. Its description in RNAcentral is "partial 16S ribosomal RNA". It matches the Rfam family "Bacterial small subunit ribosomal RNA", at positions 524 to 776 of the family's 1533-position model. The record is from RNAcentral.